GAUGAACGCUGGCGGCGUGCCUAAUACAUGCAAGUCGAGCGAACGGACGAGAAGCUUGCUUCUCUGAUGUUAGCGGCGGACGGGUGAGUAACACGUGGAUAACCUACCUAUAAGACUGGGAUAACUUCGGGAAACCGGAGCUAAUACCGGAUAAUAUUUUGAACCGCAUGGUUCAAAAGUGAAAGACGGUCUUGCUGUCACUUAUAGAUGGAUCCGCGCUGCAUUAGCUAGUUGGUAAGGUAACGGCUUACCAAGGCAACGAUGCAUAGCCGACCUGAGAGGGUUAUCCGCCACACUGGAACUGAGACACGGUCCAGACCCCUACGGGAGGCAGCAGUAGGGAAUCCUCCGCCAUGGGCGGAAGGCGUACGGAGCAACGCCGGGUGAGUGAUGAAGGUCUUCGGGUCGGAAAACUCUUUUAUUAGGGAAGAACAUAAGUGUAAGUAACUGUGCACAUCUUGACGGUACCUAAUCAGAAAGCCACGGCUAACUACGUG
Molecule: ribosomal RNA, 497 nt
Filed under: uncultured bacterium
Lineage: Bacteria
Description: partial 16S ribosomal RNA
Rfam family: Bacterial small subunit ribosomal RNA
Source: RNAcentral